Molecule: transfer RNA, 73 nt
Organism: Rhizoclosmatium globosum
Lineage: Eukaryota; Fungi; Chytridiomycota; Chytridiomycetes; Chytridiales; Chytriomycetaceae
Rfam family: tRNA
About the family: Transfer RNA (tRNA) molecules are approximately 80 nucleotides in length. Their secondary structure includes four short double-helical elements and three loops (D, anti-codon, and T loops).
Source: Rfam
GGGCCUGUGGUGAAGUGGCUAACACGCUCCCCUCCGGAGGGAGAGAUCAUCGGUUCAAACCCGAUCUGGCUCG